CCUACGGGAGGCAGCAGUGAGGAAUAUUGGUCAAUGGGCGCAAGCCUGACCCAGCAAUGCCGCGUGAAGGCAGCAGGCUUUCGGGUUGUAAACUUCUUUGACAGGGGAAGAGCAGAAGACGGUACCCUGAAAACAAGCCACGGCUAACUACGUGCCAGCAGCCGCGGUAAUACGUAGGUGGCAAGCGUUGUCCGGAUUUACUGGGUGUAAAGGGCGUGUAGCCGGGAAGGCAAGUCAGAUGUGAAAUCUGGAGGCUCAACCUCCAAAUUGCAUUUGAAACUGUUUUUCUUGAGUACUGGAGAGGCAGACGGAAUUCCUUGUGUAGCGGUGAAAUGCGUAGAUAUAAGGAGGAACACCAGUGGCGAAGGCGGUCUGCUGGACAGCAACUGACGGUGAGGCGCGAAAGCGUGGGGAGCAAACAGGAUUAGAUACCCCGGUAGUC
RNAcentral lists this ribosomal RNA (442 nucleotides) under uncultured bacterium. Its description in RNAcentral is "partial 16S ribosomal RNA". It matches the Rfam family "Bacterial small subunit ribosomal RNA", at positions 338 to 795 of the family's 1533-position model. The record is from RNAcentral.